RNAcentral lists this ribosomal RNA (450 nucleotides) under uncultured bacterium. RNAcentral describes it as "partial 16S ribosomal RNA". It matches the Rfam family "Bacterial small subunit ribosomal RNA", at positions 354 to 796 of the family's 1533-position model. The record is from RNAcentral.
GUGGGGAAUCUUCCGCAAUGGACGAAAGUCUGACGGAGCGACGCCGCGUGAGUGAAGAAGGCCUUCGGGUCGUAAAGCUCUGUCAUCAGGGACGAACGGCCGGUGGAGUGGAAAGCCACCGGAUUGACGGUACCUGAGAAGGAAGCCACGGCUAACUACGUGCCAGCAGCCGCGGUAAUACGUAGGUGGCAAGCGUUGUCCGGAAUUAUUGGGCGUAAAGCGCGCGCAGGUGGGAUCUUAAGUCCAUUUUUAAAGUUCGGAGCUCAACUCCGUGAUGGGAUGGAAACUGGGAUUCUUGAGUACCGGAGAGGAGAGCGGAAUUCCCCGUGUAGCGGUGAAAUGCGUAGAUAUGGGGAGGAACACCAGUGGCGAAGGCGGCUUUCUGGACGGUGUCUGACACUGAGGCGCGAAAGCCAGGGGAGCGAACGGGAUUAGAUACCCUAGUAGUCC